Non-coding RNA from Meleagris gallopavo (turkey), 668 nucleotides. Lineage: Eukaryota; Metazoa; Chordata; Aves; Galliformes; Phasianidae. The record is from RefSeq and is a predicted model, not a curated record.
GUAAAAUUUUUGUGUAAUCUUUUUGUGUAAUUUUUUUUUCAGAGCUUGUGGGGACAUUAUAGCAAGAAUGGAGCUGUUUCAGUAGAAGAUAAUUUGAUCUUCUGAUGAAAAUAUUUUCUAGCUCAUCUCAUUUGAAAUGAAUGUUUGUUAACAGCAUACGCAGACAACUUUUGUUAUUGUGGGGUCAGGAGCUCAAGUGACUCCACUGAAACCCUGGCAUUUAUCACAGGCAAAAUUAGGUCAGAAGAGAGCACAGAGGUACUGAACUGAAAAGAGAUAAAUUCAUCCUUAGAAGGAAAAGAAUGGCUCGAGCUGCAAACUUGGGUUUAAUUUGUCUCCUCCACAUAAGGCUUGCUGCCUUCAUCUGUGAGUUGUGGAACUAUGCACGUUGAUUCUGAGUGAGAAUGACUUGCUACCUGUGUGCACACUCCUGCAAGGGAAAAAUGAGGCAGAACAAGGUGCUUCCUUAUCCAGGAAACCUACAGGAGGAAGAACUUGACAGGCUGCGACUGACACCAGGUUGUGACUGACAGAGAGCAGCUGAGGAUGAAGCCCUGUACCACAAUAAGGAAUGCUUUGAUUCCCAUCACAACACUGAUCUUCAAAGCUGUGCAGCUACAGCGGCAAGGAUGGUAAGUACUCCUGUGUGCAAUGUAUUCACUUGGAUU